This 253-nucleotide ribosomal RNA is filed under the name uncultured bacterium. RNAcentral describes it as "partial 16S ribosomal RNA". It matches the Rfam family "Bacterial small subunit ribosomal RNA", at positions 524 to 776 of the family's 1533-position model. The record is from RNAcentral.
UACAGAGGUGGCAAGCGUUGCUCGGAAUUACUGGGCGUAAAGGGCGCGUAGGCGGCCGCCUAAGUCAGACGUGAAAUCCCCAGGCUUAACUUGGGAACUGCGUCUGAUACUGGGUGGCUUGAGUUCGGGAGAGGAAUGUGGAAUUCCAGGUGUAGCGGUGAAAUGCGUAGAUAUCUGGAGGAACACCGGUGGCGAAGGCGGCAUUCUGGACCGAAACUGACGCUGAGGCGCGAAAGCCAGGGGAGCAAACGGG